Molecule: transfer-messenger RNA, 370 nt
Filed under: Cyclobacteriaceae
Lineage: Bacteria; Pseudomonadati; Bacteroidota; Cytophagia; Cytophagales
Also listed under: 2 other names
Description: Roseivirga sp002786855 Standard tmRNA
Rfam family: transfer-messenger RNA
About the family: Bacterial tmRNA, also known as 10Sa RNA or SsrA, is named for its dual tRNA and mRNA-like properties. Its role is to liberate the mRNA from a stalled ribosome. To accomplish this part of the tmRNA is used as a reading frame that ends in a translation stop signal.
Source: RNAcentral
GGGGCCGACUGGAAUUGACAGUAGGUGUAAUGCAAGUGUAAGCAUGCAGGGAGUUGUGAGUAUUUCCCUUAAAUAAAACUUUCACACUUAUAAUUGGCGAUACACAAUACGCCCUUGCUGCCUAAUUAAGAAUUAGUAGCAAUGUGUCUCUCUCACCCCACGUUCUGCCGGGUGGGAAUAUGAGGCAUCACUACGCAGAGCUGGCUUUUCGGGGUUUCUCGACAGGAAAGUAAGAUCAAUCGGGGAUAAGGUGUAGAUCAGGUUGGUUGCUGACCUUGCUGCACUCGAAUAAAUAAUCAGCAAAUAAGCAUGUAGAAGGCGCUUAGUGUUCCUUAUCUGGACGAGGGUUCGAACCCCUCCGGCUCCACCU